This 492-nucleotide ribosomal RNA is filed under the name uncultured bacterium. Its description in RNAcentral is "partial 16S ribosomal RNA". It matches the Rfam family "Bacterial small subunit ribosomal RNA", at positions 29 to 507 of the family's 1533-position model. The record is from RNAcentral.
AGUGAACGCUGGCGGUAGGCCUAACACAUGCAAGCCGAACGGCAGCACAGUAAGAGCUUGCUCUUACGGGUGGCGAGUGGCGGACGGGUGAGGAAUACAUCGGAAUCUACUUUUUCGUGGGGGAUAACGUAGGGAAACUUACGCUAAUACCGCAUACGACCUACGGGUGGAAGCAGGGGAUCUUCGGACCUUGCGCGAUUGAAUGAGCCGAUGUCGGAUUAGCUAGUUGGCGGGGUAAAGGCCCACCAAGGCGACGAUCCGUAGCUGGUCUGAGAGGAUGAUCAGCCACACUGGAACUGAGACACGGUCCAGACUCCUACGGGAGGCAGCAGUGGGGAAUAUUGGACAAUGGGCGCAAGCCUGAUGCAGCCAUACCGCGUGGGUGAAGAAGGCCUUCGGGUUGUAAAGCCCUUUUGUUGGGAAAGAAAAGCAGCAGGUUAAUACCCCGCUGUUCUGACGGUACCCAAAGAAUAAGCACCGGCUAACUUCGUG